UGGUUCCCUCACUCCCUCUCCUGUGUUUUGUCAUCUUUUUCACCUGUCAUUAAAAAAUAAAAUGAUUCCACUUUCAACACACACAAUUUUGUAGCAUCAAACUAGUAAUUUAAUUUAAAUAAAUGCUAAUAUAGUUUACCUUUGGUGUUGGUAGGUGAAUCAUGAGAAGCCGGAGACUGACCAUCUCCACUCAAUCCAAACCAAGAAGCAACUGUACCCCUAGUCUUAAUGGCAUAGUUGGAUUCAUUUUCCUCAUCCGCAGUACCCAAUGUUUUUGCCACAUGAUCCGACACUGUCACUUUCCCCACUGGAACUGA
Molecule: long non-coding RNA, 317 nt
Organism: Cannabis sativa
Lineage: Eukaryota; Viridiplantae; Streptophyta; Magnoliopsida; Rosales; Cannabaceae
Exons: 2
Source: RefSeq, a predicted model, not a curated record